Non-coding RNA from Gossypium arboreum, 146 nucleotides. The record is from Rfam. NCBI's taxonomy places the organism in Eukaryota, Viridiplantae, Streptophyta, Magnoliopsida, Malvales, Malvaceae.
UGUUAAAAAAUCUAUCCAUUUGUAUUGUUAAAAAUUGAUGUGGUUAACGGAAUAAUAAAACAGCUAAAACGUGGUAUGUUACAUGUAUCUUAUGUUGACGUAAAGGGACUGGUUCUUAAUAGUAUAAAUAAAUGAAAUUUUUAAUA